GACGAACGCUGGCGGCGUGCUUAACACAUGCAAGUCGAGCGGUAAGGCUCCUUCGGGAGUACACGAGCGGCGAACGGGUGAGUAACACGUGAGUAAUCUGCCCUUCACUUCGGGAUAACCACCGGAAACGGUGGCUAAUACCGAAUACGACCAGUCCUUGCAUGAGGUGCUGGUGGAAAGUUUUAUCGGUGGAGGAUGUGCUCGCGGCCUAUCAGCUUGUUGGUGAGGUAACGGCUCACCAAGGCUUCGACGGGUAGCCGGCCUGAGAGGGUGACCGGCCACACUGGGACUGAGACACGGCCCAGACUCCUACGGGAGGCAGCAGUGGGGAAUAUUGGACAAUGGGCGAAAGCCUGAUCCAGCAACGCCGCGUGAGGGAUGACGGCCUUCGGGUUGUAACCUCUUUCAGUAUCGACGAAGCGCCCUGUCGGGUGGUGACGGUAGAUACAGAAGAAGGACCGGCCAACUACAUGCCAGCAGCCGCGGUGAUACGUAGGGUCCGAGCGUUGUCCGGAAUUAUUGGGCGUAAAGGGCUCGUAGGCGGUUUGUUGCGUCGGAAGUGAAAUCUUACAGCUUAACUGUGAACUUGCUUUCGAUACGGGCAGACUUGAGGCAUUCAGGGGAGAACGGAAUUCCUGGUGUAGCGGUGAAAUGCGCAGAUAUCAGGAGGAACACCGGUGGCGAAGGCGGUUCUCUGGGAAUGUACUGACGCUGAGGAGCGAAAGUGUGGGGAGCGAACAGGAUUAGAUACCCUGGUAGUCCACACCGUAAACGUUGGGCGCUAGGUGUGGGGCCUAUUCCAUGGGUUCCGUGCCGCAGCUAACGCAUUAAGCGCCC
RNAcentral lists this ribosomal RNA (837 nucleotides) under uncultured Actinomycetes bacterium. Its description in RNAcentral is "bacterial SSU rRNA". It matches the Rfam family "Bacterial small subunit ribosomal RNA", at positions 28 to 869 of the family's 1533-position model. Lineage: Bacteria; Bacillati; Actinomycetota; Actinomycetes. The record is from RNAcentral.